This 75-nucleotide transfer RNA is filed under the name Planctomycetaceae bacterium. RNAcentral describes it as "tRNA-Pro". It matches the Rfam family "tRNA". From Rfam's summary of the family: Transfer RNA (tRNA) molecules are approximately 80 nucleotides in length. Their secondary structure includes four short double-helical elements and three loops (D, anti-codon, and T loops). The record is from RNAcentral. Lineage: Bacteria; Pseudomonadati; Planctomycetota; Planctomycetia; Planctomycetales; Planctomycetaceae. RNAcentral also lists the same sequence under 6 other names.
CGGGGCGUAGCUCAGCCUGGCUAGAGCGCUACGUUCGGGACGUAGAGGUCGCACGUUCAAAUCGUGUCGCCCCGA